RNAcentral lists this ribosomal RNA (645 nucleotides) under Triticum aestivum (bread wheat). RNAcentral's name for it is "partial small subunit ribosomal RNA". The record is from RNAcentral. Lineage: Eukaryota; Viridiplantae; Streptophyta; Magnoliopsida; Poales; Poaceae.
AUGGUGGUGGCCACGGAGGAAAUGGCGGUCUACUGCUUCGACACCCUCGUCGCCCACUACAGCGGCGAGCAGCCGCCGCCGCCCGCCUUCGAGGAGGGCGUCCACCCACUGUUUGUCACCUGGAAGAAGGCUACCAAUGGUUCCGAGCCACGCCUAAGGGGAUGCAUUGGAACUUUGGAGCCCCGUCAGAUUGUAAGUGGCUUCAAGGAUUAUGCGCUGACAAGUGCCCUGAGGGAUCGGCGCUUUUCUCCGAUACAGUCCAAAGAGCUGCCAUAUUUGGAAUGCACAGUUUCUAUAUUGACUGAAUACGAAACUGCACUCAACCACCUUGAUUGGGAGGUUGGAAAGCAUGGUUUAAUUAUUGAGUUCACCGAUCCUGACUAUAAUGUAAGACGGAGUGGAACUUAUUUACCUGAGGUUGCUGCCCAUGAAGGAUGGACACAACUAGAGACCAUUGACUCGCUCAUGAGGAAGGCUGGCUACAAUGGCACCAUCACUGAGUCUUUGAGGAAGAAAAUCCGCGUCACCCGCUACCAGAGUACCCUGUACACCAUGCACUAUGGUGAAUAUACUGCAUAUGUCAAGAAGAACAGAGGUGAAAUUAACGGGGAACCCAUAGUUAAUGGAUUCAAACCAGGCCAGUGA